UAGAGUUUGAUCCUGGCUCAGAACGAACGCUGGCGGCAGGCUUAACACAUGCAAGUCGAGCGCCCCGCAAGGGGAGCGGCAGACGGGUGAGUAACGCGUGGGAAUCUACCUUUUGCUACGGAAUAACUCAGGGAAACUUGUGCUAAUACCGUAUGUGCCCUUCGGGGGAAAGAUUUAUCGGCAAAGGAUGAGCCCGCGUUGGAUUAGCUAGUUGGUGGGGUAAAGGCCCACCAAGGCGACGAUCCAUAGCUGGUCUGAGAGGAUGAUCAGCCACACUGGGACUGAGACACGGCCCAGACUCCUACGGGAGGCAGCAGUGGGGAAUAUUGGACAAUGGGCGCAAGCCUGAUCCAGCCAUGCCGCGUGAGUGAUGAAGGCCCUAGGGUUGUAAAGCUCUUUCACCGGUGAAGAUAAUGACGGUAACCGGAGAAGAAGCCCCGGCUAACUUCGUGCCAGCAGCCGCGGUAA
Molecule: ribosomal RNA, 468 nt
Filed under: uncultured Ochrobactrum sp.
Lineage: Bacteria; Pseudomonadati; Pseudomonadota; Alphaproteobacteria; Hyphomicrobiales; Brucellaceae
Description: bacterial SSU rRNA
Rfam family: Bacterial small subunit ribosomal RNA
Source: RNAcentral